UACAGAGGGUGCAAGCGUUAAUCGGAUUUACUGGGCGUAAAGCGCGCGUAGGCGGCUAAUUAAGUCAAAUGUGAAAUCCCCGAGCUUAACUUGGGAAUUGCAUUCGAUACUGGUUAGCUAGAGUGUGGGAGAGGAUGGUAGAAUUCCAGGUGUAGCGGUGAAAUGCGUAGAGAUCUGGAGGAAUACCGAUGGCGAAGGCAGCCAUCUGGCCUAACACUGACGCUGAGGUGCGAAAGCAUGGGGAGCAAACA
Molecule: ribosomal RNA, 251 nt
Filed under: uncultured bacterium
Lineage: Bacteria
Description: partial 16S ribosomal RNA
Rfam family: Bacterial small subunit ribosomal RNA
Source: RNAcentral